RNAcentral lists this ribosomal RNA (350 nucleotides) under uncultured bacterium. RNAcentral describes it as "bacterial SSU rRNA". It matches the Rfam family "Bacterial small subunit ribosomal RNA", at positions 355 to 722 of the family's 1533-position model. The record is from RNAcentral.
UGGGGAAUAUUGGACAAUGGGGGCAACCCUGAUCCAGCGAUGCCGCGUGAGUGAUGAAGGCCCUAGGGUUGUAAAGCUCUUUUGUCAGGGAAGAUAAUGACGGUACCUGAAGAAUAAGAUCCGGCUAACUCCGUGCCAGCAGCCGCGGUAAUACGGAGGGAUCUAGCGUUAUUCGGAAUUACUGGGCGUAAAGCGAGCGUAGGCUGAUUUGUAAGUUGGAUGUGAAAUCCCAGAGCUUAACUCUGGAACUGCAUCCAAAACUACAUUUCUUGAGUUUGGUAGAGGAGAGUGGAAUUCCUAGUGUAGAGGUGAAAUUCGUAGAUAUUAGGAGGAACACCAGUGGCGAAGGC